GGCAGUAUGGCGCAGAUGGGCAGCUUGCGGGGCUUGUGUGACGAUCGAUGUGAAAAAUAUACACCCCGAGGUCACUUGUUCGAUUCAAGUUGCUGCUU
Non-coding RNA from Tephrocybe rancida, 98 nucleotides. The record is from the annotation of a GenBank genome assembly. NCBI's taxonomy places the organism in Eukaryota, Fungi, Basidiomycota, Agaricomycetes, Agaricales, Lyophyllaceae.